GAUCAUGGCUCAGGAUGAACGCUAGCUACAGGCUUAACACAUGCAAGUCGAGGGGAAACGACAUUGGAAGCUUGCUUCCGAUGGGCGUCGACCGGCGCACGGGUGAGUAACGCGUAUCCAACCUGCCCACCACUUGGGGAUAACCUUGCGAAAGUAAGACUAAUACCCAAUAAUAUCUCUAGAAGACAUCUGAAAGGGAUUAAAGAUUUAUCGGUGAUGGAUGGGGAUGCGUCUGAUUAGCUUGUUGGCGGGGUAACGGCCCACCAAGGCAACGAUCAGUAGGGGUUCUGAGAGGAAGGUCCCCCACAUUGGAACUGAGACACGGUCCAAACUCCUACGGGAGGCAGCAGUGAGGAAUAUUGGUCAAUGGGCGAGAGCCUGAACCAGCCAAGUAGCGUGCAGGAUGACGGCCCUAUGGGUUGUAAACUGCUUUUAUAAGGGAAUAAAGUGAGUCUCGUGAGACUUUUUGCAUGUACCUUAUGAAUAAGGACCGGCUAAUUCCGUG
Molecule: ribosomal RNA, 505 nt
Filed under: uncultured bacterium
Lineage: Bacteria
Description: bacterial SSU rRNA
Rfam family: Bacterial small subunit ribosomal RNA
Source: RNAcentral